GUGCUUGUUUCAGCAGCACAUAUACUAAAAUUGGAACAAUUCCGAGGAGAUUAGCAUGGACCCUUAACAAGGAUGAAACAUAAAUUCAUGAAGUAUUCCUUAUUUUU
Otolemur garnettii (small-eared galago) is the source of this 107-nucleotide small nuclear RNA. The record is from Ensembl. Lineage: Eukaryota; Metazoa; Chordata; Mammalia; Primates; Galagidae.